Molecule: long non-coding RNA, 2225 nt
Filed under: Podarcis lilfordi (Lilford's wall lizard)
Lineage: Eukaryota; Metazoa; Chordata; Lepidosauria; Squamata; Lacertidae
Rfam family: tRNA (bases 1166-1224)
Source: RNAcentral
UAAAGCUUUCAGUGAUGCCAGCGCAGAAUAUUACACCCCAAUAUGUCCCUAUGUCCCUUGUUGUUGUUCUCAUAGCUUCAGCAAGCUGGGGUCCAUAGCAGCAGCCAGUCAUGGUCCCUGGUUUCUCAGUGCAGCCUCCUCCAGCCACUAUAGAGGUCUGCCUACUUUCUUCUUCUUCUUCUUCUUCUUCUUCUUCUUCUUCUUCUUCUUCUUCUUCUUCCCAUAAGCCUUUGCAGAGAGCAUCUCCUCCCCCUGUCACCCUCCAUCUCAGAAGCUUCCUACAGAAAGGACUUUUUCUCUUGUGACAUCACACCCACUGUAAUCCUAGCAGUCUCCUCCUUUCUUGUCUGAUGCUGAAUGUCUCACCUUUACUCAGGGUAAUGACUCUGCCAUCACCUGUCUUUAUUCUUUGGUGGCACCUCUCUAAGUCAAGCUCAUGAAGAAGCUGCCUUGUCCGAAAACCCCACAUUGUAACUCACUCUACGUGGGGCUGCCCUUGAGACUGACCCAGGAACUCCAGUGGGUGCAGAAUGCUGUGGCGAGACUCCUUACCGGGUCCUCACCGUGGGAUCACAUUCACCCAGUGCUAUACCAGUUGCACUGGCUGCCGAUGGAGUACAGGAUCAGGUUUUAGGUGCUGGUUUUAACCUUUAAAGCCCCAUAUGGCCUAGGACCCUCGUACCUAUGGGACUGCCUCUCCUGGUAUGUCCCACGGAGGACCUUACGGUCUUCAAACAAAAACAUCUUGGAGGUCCCAGGCCACAGGGAGGUUAGGCUGGCCUCAACCAGAGCCAGGGCUUUUUCGGCUGUGGCCCCGAUCUGGUGGAAUGCUCUGUCACAAGAGACUAGGGCCCUGCGGGAAUUGACAUCUUUCCGCAGGGCCUGCAAGACAGAGCUGUUCCACCAGGCCUUUGGCCAAGGCACAGUCUGAGCCCCUCCUUUGGCAAUCCUCAUAAAACUGUAGCCCAAUGGUUGCCAUUAAUUUGAUUCUGAAUUGAUUAGAGAAUGAAUUGAUUUUAGAAUUUAUUUUAAUUAAUUGAUUGUGAUUUUAUGUAGAUUGUGUUACUUUUAUUGUUGUUAGCCGCUCUGAGCCUGGUUCUGGCUGGGGAGGGCGGGAUAUAAAUAAAAAAUUAUUAUUAUUAUUACUACUACAUGUCAGCCUAGAUAGCUUAGUUGGUUAGUGCAUGGUGCUGAUAACGCCCAGGUUGCAGGUUCAAUCCCUGCAAGGGACAGCUGCAUAUUCCUGCAUUGCAGAGGGUUGGAGUAGAUCAGGGGUCAGCAAGCUUACCAAACGAUGGGCCGAUCGACGCUCUGUCCAUCGGAGGGUGGGCCGGAGCGUGUGUGCAUGUGCACUCUUCCAGGUCAGAGGAGCACCCGUGCCCAUGCGGACACGCUAUUUCUGGUGCUCCUCUGACCUGGAAGUGCGCCGGAAAUAGCAUGUAUGCAUGAGCACGGGCACUUCUCAGUCCUGCAUGCGUGCACACACGCUAUUUCUGGUGCACAUCCGGGUCGUAGGAGCACCCAUGCACAUGCGCACAGGCGCCAUCAACCCGGAAGUCGGUCCCUGCACCACACUGCACCGCGUCCGUAAGAGCGGGCGGUGGCAGGGGUUGCCUUAGUCUGCUGACCCCUGGAGUAGAUGAUCCUUAGGGUCCCUUCCAACUCUACAGUUUUGUGAUUCUAUGAUUUACUAAUUGCAGAGAUUACGGGGAGAACCUGGCACCCAGGGAUUUUAGGCCCCCUGAAGACUCAUAACAGUACUGAAGACAAAUAACCAACACGAAGUACAAUGUAACAUAAUAAAAUUACAGCACGAUAAAGGCAAUAAAUCAAUGUGAAAUCAUAAAACAGUGAUGCAUAAAUAAUACGAUAUUCAAUCUGACAGUAAUAUUACUGGUCAGGAAUUGCCUGCUUAAGCAAAUUCACUUUAAGCAUGCAGCAAAAUGAUAGUACAGUUUGCUCACCCCUAAUCUCAGAAAGAAGGCUGCUCCAGAAAGAAAGAUGCCAUUACUGCUAAGGACCUCUUCCAAAUGUCUACAGAAUGGAACUCACUGAUCUCAGGGAGUGGGCAGAUUUAUAUUUUAGGGCAAAAGUAUAUGGGAAGCUAAUGCGAUGAUUAUGCAUCGUUUGUGCCAGCUGUGGGAUGCCUAGAGAAAGCAUUCAAGCAAGAACUGGAGUAAACUCACCCUCCUUGAGUUUCCAGCAACUGGUAUUCAGAAGCGGGU